RNAcentral lists this ribosomal RNA (460 nucleotides) under uncultured bacterium. RNAcentral describes it as "partial 16S ribosomal RNA". It matches the Rfam family "Bacterial small subunit ribosomal RNA", at positions 338 to 795 of the family's 1533-position model. The record is from RNAcentral.
CCUACGGGUGGCAGCAGUGAGGAAUAUUGGUCAAUGGACGGAAGCCUGAACCAGCCAAGCCGCGUGCGGGAUGAAGGUUCUAUGAGUUGUAAACUGCUUUUGUAAGGGGGUAAAGUUGCAGACGUGUCCUGCGUUGAAUGUACUUUACGAAUAAGGAUCGGCUAACUCCGUGCCAGCAGCCGCGGUAAUACGGAGGAUCCAAGCGUUAUCCGGAUUUAUUGGGUUUAAAGGGUGCGUAGGCGGAUUGUUAAGUCAGCGGUGAAAUUUCCGGGCUCAACGCGGGAACUGCCUUUAAUACUGGUGAUCUAGAGUGUGUGUGAGGUAGGCGGAAUGCAUGGUGUAGCGGUGAAAUGCGUAGAUAUCAGGCAGAACACCGAUUGCGAAGGCAGCUUGCCAAGCCAUAACUGACGCUGAGGCACGAAAGCGUGGGGAGCAAACAGGAUUAGAUACCCGGGUAGUC